This 642-nucleotide ribosomal RNA is filed under the name Aphelenchoides cf. besseyi TSH-2005. Its description in RNAcentral is "SSU rRNA". It matches the Rfam family "Eukaryotic small subunit ribosomal RNA", at positions 1003 to 1664 of the family's 1831-position model. The record is from RNAcentral. Lineage: Eukaryota; Metazoa; Nematoda; Chromadorea; Rhabditida; Aphelenchoididae.
GGCGAUCAGAUACCGCCCUAGUUCUGACCGUAAAUGAUGCCAACUACCAAUCCGCUGGUGGGUUUCUGAUUCCACGAGCGGGCGGGUUUCCGGAAACGAAAGUCUUUCGGUUCCGGGGGAAGUAUGGUUGCAAAGCUGAAACUUAAAGGAAUUGACGGAAGGGCACCACCAGGAGUGGAGCUUGCGGCUUAAUUUGACUCAACACGGGAAACCUCACCCGGCCAGCACAUCGUGAGGAUUGACAGACCGAUAGCUCUUUCAUGAUUCGGUGGAUGGUGGUGCAUGGCCGUUCUUAGUUCGUACCCGUCGAGGCGUCUGCUUUAUUGCGAUAACGAGCGAGACGCCAACUGCUAAAUAAUGGGUCGAUUGCUUCGGUUGUCGGCGAUCAUUUCUUAGCGGGAUUUGUGGUUUCCAGCCUCAAGAAAUGGCGCAAUAACAGGUCUGUGAUGCCCUUAGAUGUUCGGGGCCGCACGCGUGCUACAAUGGUGGUAUCAGCGUGACUGUCCUACUCCGAAAGGAGAUGGCAAACAGUUGAGAUAUUAUUAUGGCUGGAAUUGAGUGUUGAAAUUUUCACUCAUGAACGAGGAAUUCCAAGUAAAUGCGAGUCAUCAACUCGCAUUGAUUACGUCCCUGCCCUUUGUA